This 253-nucleotide ribosomal RNA is filed under the name uncultured bacterium. RNAcentral describes it as "partial 16S ribosomal RNA". It matches the Rfam family "Bacterial small subunit ribosomal RNA", at positions 524 to 776 of the family's 1533-position model. The record is from RNAcentral.
UACGGGGGGGGUAAGCGUUGUUCGGAAUUACUGGGCGUAAAGGGCUCGUAGGCGGCCAACUAAGUCAUACGUGAAAUCCCUCAGCUUAACUGGGGAACUGCGUGUGAUACUGGAUGGCUUGGAUUUGGGAGAGGGAUGCGGAAUUCCAGGUGUAGCGGUGAAAUGCGUAGAUAUCAGGAAGAACAUCGGUGGCGAAGGCGCUCUGCUGGACCAUAACUGACACUCAGGGACGAAAGCUAGGGGAGCGAAUGGG